This 94-nucleotide transfer RNA is filed under the name Sclerotinia borealis F-4128. It matches the Rfam family "tRNA". Rfam says of the family: Transfer RNA (tRNA) molecules are approximately 80 nucleotides in length. Lineage: Eukaryota; Fungi; Ascomycota; Leotiomycetes; Helotiales; Sclerotiniaceae. The record is from Rfam by way of RNAcentral.
GCCCGUUUGGCUUAGCGGUAAAGCGCAUCACUAGUACUUGCAAAGCAACUAAUUCCCAAUGAUGAGAUCCUAGGUUCGAUUCCUAGAACGGGCA